RNAcentral lists this ribosomal RNA (253 nucleotides) under uncultured bacterium. Its description in RNAcentral is "partial 16S ribosomal RNA". It matches the Rfam family "Bacterial small subunit ribosomal RNA", at positions 524 to 776 of the family's 1533-position model. The record is from RNAcentral.
UACGGAGGGUGCAAGCGUUGCUCGGAAUUACUGGGCGUAAAGCGUACGCAGGCUGUCCGUUAAGUCGGGUGUGAAAUCCCGGGGCUCAACCCCGGGUCUGCAUUCGAUACGGGCAGACUAGAGUUCGGUAGGGGAGUCUGGAAUUCCUGGUGUAGCGGUGGAAUGCGCAGAUAUCAGGAGGAACACCGAUGGCGAAGGCAGUUCUCUGGGCCGUAACUGACGCUGAGGAGCGAAAGCGUGGGGAGCGAACAGG